GGACUACCCGGGUAUCUAAUCCUGUUUGCUCCCCUAGCUUUCGUGCAUCAGUGUCAGGAGUUGUCCAGGGACCCGCCUUCGCCGCUGGUGUUCCUCUCGAUAUCUACGCAUUUCACUGCUACACCGAGAAUUCCAGUCCCCCCUCCAACCCUCGAGCGGAAUAGUAUUCGACGCAGUUUCCGGGUUGAGCCCGGAGAUUUCACGCCAAACUUACCCCGCCACCUACGCACCCUUUACGCCCAGUGAAUCCGAACAACGCUUGGGACCUCUGUAUUACCGCGGCUGCUGGCAC
RNAcentral lists this ribosomal RNA (292 nucleotides) under uncultured Verrucomicrobiota bacterium. RNAcentral's name for it is "uncultured Verrucomicrobia bacterium partial 16S ribosomal RNA". The record is from RNAcentral. Lineage: Bacteria; Pseudomonadati; Verrucomicrobiota.